GGGCCUUGUAACUCCGCCCAGCGGCAGACGGGUGAGUAACGCGUGGGAACAUACCUCUUGGUUCGGAACAACACAGGGAAACUUGUGCUAAUACCGGAUAAGCCCUUACGGGGAAAGAUUUAUCGCCGAGAGAUUGGCCCGCGUCUGAUUAGCUAGUUGGUAGGGUAAUGGCCUACCAAGGCGACGAUCAGUAGCUGGUCUGAGAGGAUGAUCAGCCACAUUGGGACUGAGACACGGCCCAAACUCCUACGGGAGGCAGCAGUGGGGAAUAUUGGACAAUGGGGGCAACCCUGAUCCAGCCAUGCCGCGUGAGUGAUGAAGGCCCUAGGGUUGUAAAGCUCUUUUGUGCGGGAAGAUAAUGACGGUACCGCAAGAAUAAGCCCCGGCUAACUUCGUGCCAGCAGCCGCGGUAAUACGAAGGGGGCUAGCGUUGCUCGGAAUCACUGGGCGUAAAGGGUGCGUAGGCGGGUUUUUAAGUCAGAGGUGAAAUCCUGGAGCUCAACUCCAGAACUGCCUUUGAUACUGAAGAUCUUGAGUCCGGAAGAGGUGAGUGGAACUGCGAGUGUAGAGGUGAAAUUCGUAGAUAUUCGCAAGAACACCAGUGGCGAAGGCGGCUCACUGGUCCGGUACUGACGCUGAGGCACGAAAGCGUGGGGAGCAAACAGGAUUAGAUACCCUGGUAGUCCAUGCCGUAAACGAUGAAUGCCANCCCGUUAGUGG
Molecule: ribosomal RNA, 720 nt
Filed under: Bradyrhizobium sp. L43
Lineage: Bacteria; Pseudomonadati; Pseudomonadota; Alphaproteobacteria; Hyphomicrobiales; Nitrobacteraceae
Description: bacterial SSU rRNA
Rfam family: Bacterial small subunit ribosomal RNA
Source: RNAcentral